Long non-coding RNA from Gossypium arboreum, 1400 nucleotides. RefSeq lists it as uncharacterized. NCBI's taxonomy places the organism in Eukaryota, Viridiplantae, Streptophyta, Magnoliopsida, Malvales, Malvaceae. The record is from RefSeq and is a predicted model, not a curated record. The transcript has 3 exons.
CCGUUUCUUCAAAUGGCUUAAUUUUGCUCUGGAAUUUCAGGCAUCAAGCCUAGUUCCCAUGGCAAAACCAAUGUGGUAACAGCUCUUUGGAAGGAUCCUGUGGCAAUUCACCCUGGUUGUACAGCAUCGUUAACACCGCCAUAACUGUUAGUCAUUUGUUUCACAGACUGUUAUUGUAUAUUAAGUGUUGGUAGAAUCAUUUGUUCCAGACAAAAUAGAUAGCCUGUAAUUUCCCAUCUUUUGGGCUACUUUAUGUCUUCCAGUUCGCACAAACUGUUCAAUUCACUACUUUCUGCAUAGGCAGGUUUUAACAGUCAUUUUUCUCUAAAUGCAAAUGCUGGAUUCAGAUCUUAUCUCUCUCUUUCUUUGUUUUGCUUAUAUAAGAUAUAUUGUUCUGCCAUUUUAUGGGCUUGAAAUUUGCCCAUCAGUUCAAGAAUUGAACAUGUUCAAGGUUUUAUGGAUCAAGAAACACAAUCUCUCAAGUAUGGAUAAACUACUUGAAAGUAAGAGUUCUCUUUAGUGAAUGUUCAUUUUGUCCUUUUCAAAUGCCCUUCUAGGAUGACCCGUACUUAAAAAGCCCUUUAUACAAGGAAGCACUAACAGGGUUGGGCAUUCAAUGGAAUUCCCGUUGGCUACUGUAUUCGUGGCAUCCACCACCACCACCACCACCACCAUGAGUUUGAAGCUUCUAGUAGAUGCUAAAGGGAGGAGGGUUCUGUAUGCCAAAGCUACUAUUGUAAGGGUCUGGAGUUAAUCAAGGCAUCGCCUACAGUCCAAGCCUCUGCCAGCUGAUGUAUUGUUUAAUUGAUUUCAUAUUUUAGAUGUCUCUUGAACUGUUUUGAACUCAAAUGGUUCCUGUUAUUAUGUUGCUUUGAACGAAAAGGCAAACAAGGUUUUCGAAAACCAUUUUCAUUAUAUAAAUUCGGCCACGGAAAUGAUAAUUUCGGGAAGAAAUACUUCAACGAGGGAGAAAUUCAUUGUGUAGAGUUUAGAGGGUACUGUGUUUUAUGAAGAUAACGCAUGAAAAAUAAGGGGAAAUGAGGUUGGUGAAGUGUGUGAAUUGGCAGAAGAACCGUAGAAGCUAGAGAUGAGUAGACUCCCACAUGAGUAAGAAACAUAAAGCAGCGCCCAACAGAUUAAUAUAAAUAAAAGCGCAGGCGAAGGAUAAAAGUACGGAGCCGUGCGGUGAGUACAGAGCGAACUAUUCUUUCGCCUUUUACUAAAGAAUACCGUGUGCUCGCCGCCCAAAGCGGUAUACGCCAGUUUUUGGAAGGUUGGUCCUUUUUUGGAACGCCUCACUAAUUUCUAGUCUUGAAACAUUAUUUAUUUAUUUAUUUAUUGUAUUUAUGAAAUUUUCUCUUGGACGAAAUAUUUGAAACUUUGAAUUUUGUGUGUUUUAA